RNAcentral lists this ribosomal RNA (253 nucleotides) under uncultured bacterium. Its description in RNAcentral is "partial 16S ribosomal RNA". It matches the Rfam family "Bacterial small subunit ribosomal RNA", at positions 524 to 776 of the family's 1533-position model. The record is from RNAcentral.
UACGUAGGGUGCAAGCGUUAAUCGGAAUUACUGGGCGUAAAGCGAGCGCAGGCGGUUUGUUAAGCCAGAUGUGAAAUCCCCGGGCUCAACCUGGGAACUGCAUUUGUGACUGCAUGGCUAGAGUACGGUAGAGGGGGAUGGAAUUCCGCGUGUAGCAGUGAAAUGCGUAGAUAUGCGGAGGAACACCGAUGGCGAAGGCAAUCCCCUGGACCUGUACUGACGCUCAUGCACGAAAGCGUGGGGAGCAAACAGG